Molecule: small nuclear RNA, 118 nt
Filed under: Salix viminalis (osier)
Lineage: Eukaryota; Viridiplantae; Streptophyta; Magnoliopsida; Malpighiales; Salicaceae
Rfam family: U5 spliceosomal RNA
About the family: U5 RNA is a component of both types of known spliceosome. The precise function of this molecule is unknown, though it is known that the 5' loop is required for splice site selection and p220 binding, and that both the 3' stem-loop and the Sm site are important for Sm protein binding and cap methylation.
Source: RNAcentral
AGCCGUGUGGUGAGCGCAGAGCGAACUAUUCUUUCGCCUUUUACUAAAGAAUACCGUGUGCUCUCCAUUGACUGCGGCAUACCUCUAUUUUUGUAGGGCUUUUCCUUCGUGUAAGCCC